RNAcentral lists this ribosomal RNA (742 nucleotides) under uncultured bacterium. RNAcentral describes it as "bacterial SSU rRNA". It matches the Rfam family "Bacterial small subunit ribosomal RNA", at positions 62 to 805 of the family's 1533-position model. The record is from RNAcentral.
UCGACGAGGAUUUAGCGGAAUGCGAUUCGUCAAAUGAAAUUAAAUCCGACUGGCGGACGGGUGAGUAACGCGUGGAUAACCUGCCUCACACAGGGGGACAACAGCCGGAAACGGCUGCUAAUACCGCAUAACAUGAGCAGCCCGCAUGGGCAGCUCACCAAAGAUUUUAUCGGUGUGAGAUGGAUCCGCGUCUGAUUAGCCAGUUGGCGGGGUAACGGCCCACCAAAGCGACGAUCAGUAGCCGACCUGAGAGGGUGACCGGCCACAUUGGGACUGAGACACGGCCCAAACUCCUACGGGAGGCAGCAGUGGGGAAUAUUGCACAAUGGGCGAAAGCCUGAUGCAGCGACGCCGCGUGAAGGAUGAAGUAUUUCGGUAUGUAAACUUCUAUCAGCAGGGAAGAAAAUGACGGUACCUGACUAAGAAGCCCCGGCUAACUACGUGCCAGCAGCCGCGGUAAUACGUAGGGGGCAAGCGUUAUCCGGAUUUACUGGGUGUAAAGGGAGCGUAGAUGGCAUGGCAAGUCUGAAGUGAAAGCCCGGGGCUUAACCCCGGGACUGCUUUGGAAACUGUUAAGCUAGAGUGCAGGAGAGGUAAGCGGAAUUCCUAGUGUAGCGGUGAAAUGCGUAGAUAUUAGGAGGAACAUCGGUGGCGAAGGCGGCUUACUGGGCCUUUACUGACGCUGAGGCUCGAAAGCGUGGGGAGCAAACAGGAUUAGAUACCCUGGUAGUCCACGCCGUAA